RNAcentral lists this ribosomal RNA (813 nucleotides) under uncultured bacterium. RNAcentral's name for it is "bacterial SSU rRNA". It matches the Rfam family "Bacterial small subunit ribosomal RNA", at positions 93 to 907 of the family's 1533-position model. The record is from RNAcentral.
GACCGGCGCAAGGGUGCGUAACGCGUGAGCAACUUGCCCGCAACAGGAGGAUAACCCGGAGAAAUCCGGACUAAUAUUCCAUAGCAAACUAAGGAAGCAUUUCUUUAGUUUUAAAGCUUCGGUGGUUGCGGAUGGGCUCGCGUAACAUUAGCUAGUUGGUAGGGUAACGGCCUACCAAAGCGAUGAUGUUUAGGGGUUCUGAGAGGAAGAUCCCCCACACCGGAACUGAGACACGGUCCGGACUCCUACGGGAGGCAGCAGUGAGGAAUAUUGGACAAUGGGCGAAAGCCUGAUCCAGCCAUGCCGCGUGAAGGAAGAAGGUUCUAUGGAUUGUAAACUUCUUUUGAUAGAGAGCAAUAAGGGUUACGUGUAAUCUGAUGAGAGUAUCUAUCGAAUAAGCAUCGGCUAACUCCGUGCCAGCAGCCGCGGUAAUACGGAGGAUGCAAGCGUUAUCCGGAUUUAUUGGGUUUAAAGGGUGCGUAGGCGGUUUGGUAAGUCAGUGGUGAAAUUUUGCAGCUUAACUGUAAACUUGCCAUUGAUACUGUCAAGCUAGAAAUUAGAUGAAGUGGGUGGAAUGUGUGGUGUAGCGGUGAAAUGCAUAGAUAUCACACAGAAUAUCGAUAGCGAAGGCAACUCACUAAACUAUAUUUGACGCUGAGGCACGAAAGUGUGGGGAUCAAACAGGAUUAGAUACCCUGGUAGUCCACACUGUAAACGAUGAUAACUAGCUGUUUGCGAUAUACAGUAAGUGGCUAAGCGAAAGCGAUAAGUUAUCCACCUGGGGAGUAUGCCCGCAAGGGUGAAACUCAAAGG